This 207-nucleotide ribosomal RNA is filed under the name uncultured bacterium. RNAcentral describes it as "partial 16S ribosomal RNA". It matches the Rfam family "Bacterial small subunit ribosomal RNA", at positions 568 to 774 of the family's 1533-position model. The record is from RNAcentral.
AUCGUAGGUGGUUUGUUAAGUCGGAUGUGAAAUCCCGGGGCUCAACCCCGGAACUGCAUUCGAUACUGGCAGACUUGAGUUCGGGAGGGGGAAGCGGAAUUCCGUGUGUAGCAGUGAAAUGCGUAGAUAUACGGAGGAACACCCGAGGCGAAGGCGGCUUCCUGGACCGACACUGACACUGAGGAUCGAAAGCGUGGGGAGCAAACA